This 484-nucleotide ribosomal RNA is filed under the name uncultured bacterium. RNAcentral describes it as "partial 16S ribosomal RNA". It matches the Rfam family "Bacterial small subunit ribosomal RNA", at positions 30 to 507 of the family's 1533-position model. The record is from RNAcentral.
AUUGAACGCUGGCGGCAGGCCUAACACAUGCAAGUCGAGCGGAUGAAGGGAGCUUGCUCCUGGAUUCAGCGGCGGACGGGUGAGUAAUGCCUAGGAAUCUGCCUGGUAGUGGGGGAUAACGUCCGGAAACGGGCGCUAAUACCGCAUACGUCCUGAGGGAGAAAGUGGGGGAUCUUCGGACCUCACGCUAUCAGAUGAGCCUAGGUCGGAUUAGCUAGUUGGUGGGGUAAAGGCCUACCAAGGCGACGAUCCGUAACUGGUCUGAGAGGAUGAUCAGUCACACUGGAACUGAGACACGGUCCAGACUCCUACGGGAGGCAGCAGUGGGGAAUAUUGGACAAUGGGCGAAAGCCCGAUCCAGCCAUGCCGCGUGUGUGGAGAAGGUCUUCGGAUUGUAAAGCACUUUAAGUUGGGAGGAAGGGCAGUAAGUUAAUACCUUGCUGUUUUGACGUUACCAACAGAAUAAGCACCGGCUAACUUCGUG